GCCCUACUAGAGAAAUGGUUAACUCGCCGGCCUCCUAAUUAUAAGAAAGCCGGAGAUUCUCGGUUCGAGUCCGAGGUGGGGUG
Non-coding RNA from Xylariomycetidae sp. FL0641, 83 nucleotides. NCBI's taxonomy places the organism in Eukaryota, Fungi, Ascomycota, Sordariomycetes. The record is from the annotation of a GenBank genome assembly.